UGCUUAACAUGCAGUCGAACGGCAGCGGGGGUAGCUUGCUACCUGCCGGCGAGUGGCGAACGGGUGAGUAAUACAUCGGAACGUGCCCUGUAGUGGGGGAUAACUAGUCGAAAGACUAGCUAAUACCGCAUACGACCUGAGGGUGAAAGUGGGGGACCGCAAGGCCUCAUGCUAUAGGAGCGGCCGAUGUCUGAUUAGCUAGUUGGUGGGGUAAAGGCCCACCAAGGCGACGAUCAGUAGCUGGUCUGAGAGGACGAUCAGCCACACUGGGACUGAGACACGGCCCAGACUCCUACGGGAGGCAGCAGUGGGGAAUUUUGGACAAUGGGGGCAACCCUGAUCCAGCAAUGCCGCGUGUGUGAAGAAGGCCUUCGGGUUGUAAAGCACUUUUGUCCGGAAAGAAAUCGCACUGGUUAAUACCUGGUGUGGAUGACGGUACCGGAAGAAUAAGGACCGGCUAACUACGUGCCAGCAGCCGCGGUAAUACGUAGGGUCCAAGCGUUAAUCGGAAUUACUGGGCGUAAAGCGUGCGCAGGCGGUUGUGCAAGACCGAUGUGAAAUCCCCGGGCUUAACCUGGGAAUUGCAUUGGUGACUGCACGGCUAGAGUGUGUCAGAGGGAGGUAGAAUUCCACGUGUAGCAGUGAAAUGCGUAGAGAUGUGGAGGAAUACCGAUGGCGAAGGCAGCCUCCUGGGAUAACACUGACGCUCAUGCACGAAAGCGUGGGGAGCAAACAGGAUUAGAUACCCUGGUAGUCCACGCCCUAAACGAUGUCAACUAGUUGUUGGGGAUUCAUUUCCUUAGUAACGUAGCUAACGCGUGAAGUUGACCGCCUGGGGAGUACGGUCGCAAGAUUAAAACUCAAGGAAUUGACGGGGACCCGCACAAGCGGUGGAUGAUGUGGAUUAAUUCGAUGCAACGCGAAAAACCUUACCUACCCUUGACAUGCCACUAACGAAGGCAGAGAUGCAUUAAGUGCUCGAAAAGAAAAAGUUGACCACAGGUGCUGACAUGACUGUCGUCAGCUUCGUGUCCGUGAAAA
RNAcentral lists this ribosomal RNA (1041 nucleotides) under Ralstonia solanacearum. RNAcentral describes it as "bacterial SSU rRNA". It matches the Rfam family "Bacterial small subunit ribosomal RNA", at positions 45 to 1072 of the family's 1533-position model. The record is from RNAcentral. Lineage: Bacteria; Pseudomonadati; Pseudomonadota; Betaproteobacteria; Burkholderiales; Burkholderiaceae.